AUACGGAGGGAGCUAGCGUUGUUCGGAAUUACUGGGCGUAAAGCGCACGUAGGCGGAUUGGUCAGUUGGAGGUGAAAUCCCAGGGCUCAACCCUGGAACUGCCUUCAAUACUGCCAGUCUAGAGAUCGGAAGAGGUGAGUGGAAUUCCUAGUGUAGAGGUGAAAUUCGUAGAUAUUAGGAGGAACACCAGUGGCGAAGGCGGCUCACUGGUCCGAUACUGACGCUGAGGUGCGAAAGCGUGGGGAGCAAACAGGAUUAGAAACCCCGGUAGUCC
This 274-nucleotide ribosomal RNA is filed under the name uncultured bacterium. Its description in RNAcentral is "partial 16S ribosomal RNA". It matches the Rfam family "Bacterial small subunit ribosomal RNA", at positions 523 to 796 of the family's 1533-position model. The record is from RNAcentral.